CUUGGUCAUUUAGAGGAAGUAAAAGUCGUAACAAGGUUUCCGUAGGUGAACCUGCGGAAGGAUCAUUAUCAAAAGUCAAGUCGGGGGCUGUAAAGCUCUCGUCUACACCCAUGUCUUUUGCGUACUCUUGUUUCCUCGGUGGCGCAAGCUGCCGAUUGGACAAACCAAAACCUUUUUUGUAAUUGCAAUCAGCGUCUGAAAAUAAUCUAAUUAUUUACAACUUUCAACAACGGAUCUCUUGGUUCUGGCAUCGAUGAAGAACGCAGCGAAAUGCGAUAAGUAGUGUGAAUUGCAGAAUUCAGUGAAUCAUCGAAUCUUUGAACGCACAUUGCGCCCCUUGGUAUUCCAUGGGGCAUGCCUGUUCGAGCGUCAUUUGUACCCUCAAGCUUUGCUUGGUGUUGGGCGUUUUGUCGUAUUACGACUCGCCUUAAAUUUAUUGGCAGCCGGCACUUUGGCCUAGGAGCGCAGCACAUUUUGCGAUCGUAGCCCGUUGUACUGGCGUCCAUCAAGAACAUUUACCACGUUUGACCUCGGAUCAGGUAGGGAUACCCGCUGAACUUAAGCAUAUCAAUAAGCGGAGGA
This 582-nucleotide ribosomal RNA is filed under the name uncultured Ascomycota. Its description in RNAcentral is "eukaryotic LSU rRNA". The stretch from base 219 to 372 matches the Rfam family "5.8S ribosomal RNA". Lineage: Eukaryota; Fungi; Ascomycota. The record is from RNAcentral.